This 376-nucleotide unclassified non-coding RNA is filed under the name uncultured bacterium. Its description in RNAcentral is "contains 16S-23S intergenic spacer region". The record is from RNAcentral.
UCCGAGUUGACCCCGGCAGUCUCCCAUGAGUCCCCACCAUAACGUGCUGGCAACAUGGAACGAGGGUUGCGCUCGUUGCGGGACUUAACCCAACAUCUCACGACACGAGCUGACGACAGCCAUGCACCACCUGUGAACACCCCCGAAGGAGACCCCAUCUCUGAGGCUGUGGUGUACAUGUCAAACCCAGGUAAGGUUCUGCGCGUUGCGUCGAAUUGAACCACAUGCUCCACCGCUUGUGCGGGCCCCCGUCAACUCCUUUGAGUUUUAACCUUGCGGCCGUAAUCCCCAGGCGGGGGACUUAAUGCGUUAGCUUCGACACGGAAGGGGUCGAUCCCACCCGCGUCUAGUGCCCAUCGUUUACGGCGUGGACUAC